GCUUCAGCGCCGAAAUUAGGGUUCACUUCAUCUCCGAAAACCUAAAAUGAUCUUCUGCGUUCUCUGAACAUCAACAAUGGAGUCUCUAGAGUUUGGGUGACUUGAAUCGACGCGAAGAAUCUCUAUGUCGAUCUUAUGUCACGUCGUUUGGUAUCUAAAUCAACAGAAACACUCCAAGAUACAGAUUCAUCGCAUUUAUGUUUUUCAAUCAUGCCGCCCAACUACAUGGCUAUGGCAAUGGCGAACUCCAGAUCCUGUUCUGAGUUGAAGUCUGGUUGUUAUAUUGAGGCAGGUGGGAUGCAUCUUCUUUAUUUUUAGAAGAUUCUUAAUGUGAAAAAGGAGGGGAGCUCAUGAGUGUUGACCUGAGGAUAGAUCUUGCUGAGCUGCCUCAUUUUGUGUGAAGAGCUAUUAAACAAAUGCUUACUAAUAAAUGAGAGAUACAGAGGGAAAAUCAUCAAGCAUGGCUUCACAUCUUUUACAUCUUCCAACAUCUUAUUCAAGUGCAAGGAAUAUGUGGAGGCAGAGCGAUUUCUGAGAACAUCAUGGAGAAGUCAGUUGCUUCAGAAGAUCCGUCAUAACCUUCCCAAUGCAGUUACUCCUUCUCAACUGAACCGUUAUGAGGAAGUAGUAAUAAAGGCUCUAGGAAUCCGUGAGAAGUCAUUUGGUAUAUAGAGCUUUCCUCUCUCUCCAUACCAUCAUCGUUAUAAUCAAUGUUUAUAAUCUUUUUGUCAUCUAAACAUGAUUCAAUAAUGACUUUUGUGGAAAACUGACGUCUCUGGACAAGUGAGGUGGCGCCGAUUCAUUAGGUAUAGACAAUGAGGAAGUACUCGGUUUUCUGAACAUGGCGUUGUUGAUCCAAGAAAGAUAGUUGGGUUCAUCACAUAAAAAAUAAUUGUUACUCCAGAAGAUUGUUCAUCUUAAGUGUGAUAAAUUUAAGUAUACGAGAAGACUGCCUUUGCUAGAGUGAGAUUAGAGAUACAAGUAGAAUCUUAGACUUUUGAACAUAUUUUAUUACUCUGAUCUUUCUUAAAUGGCGGAAAGAUUGGUAUGGUCAAGGUCAGUGAUGUUGAAAAGUUCUUUUUUUUUGUUCUGGUUUAUACACUUAUACAACAUCCUGCUUAUAUUUGUGAACUUGAACUGCUGCAACUGCGUGUGAUAUACAGAUAGAA
Raphanus sativus (radish) is the source of this 1169-nucleotide long non-coding RNA. RefSeq lists it as uncharacterized. The record is from RefSeq and is a predicted model, not a curated record. The transcript has 3 exons. Lineage: Eukaryota; Viridiplantae; Streptophyta; Magnoliopsida; Brassicales; Brassicaceae.